UUGCCCAUUUUGGCACUAGCACAUUUUUGCUUUGUUUCUCGUUGUUUGAGCAAUCAUGUGUAGUGCCAAUAUAGGACA
Molecule: microRNA precursor, 78 nt
Filed under: Larimichthys crocea (large yellow croaker)
Lineage: Eukaryota; Metazoa; Chordata; Actinopteri; Sciaenidae
Description: mir-96 microRNA precursor family
Rfam family: mir-96 microRNA precursor family
Source: Rfam by way of RNAcentral